This 279-nucleotide ribosomal RNA is filed under the name uncultured Arcanobacterium sp. RNAcentral's name for it is "partial 16S ribosomal RNA". It matches the Rfam family "Bacterial small subunit ribosomal RNA", at positions 76 to 354 of the family's 1533-position model. The record is from RNAcentral. Lineage: Bacteria; Bacillati; Actinomycetota; Actinomycetes; Actinomycetales; Actinomycetaceae.
CUUGCUUGGGGUACUCGAGUGGCGAACGGGUGAGUAAUACGUGGGUAACCUGCCCUCUUCUUUGGGAUAAGCCCCGGAAACGGGGUCUAAUACCGGAUAUUCUGCUUCUGCCGCAUGGUGGGGGUUGGAAAGGUUUUUCGGUGGGGGAUGGGCCCGCGGCCUAUCAGCUUGUUGGUGGGGUGAUGGCCUACCAAGGCUUCGACGGGUAGCCGGCCUGAGAGGGUGACCGGCCACAUUGGGACUGAGAUACGGCCCAGACUCCUACGGGAGGCAGCAGAU